UACAGAGGUCCCAAGCGUUGUUCGGAUUCACUGGGCGUAAAGAGCUCGUAGGCGGUCUGUCGCGUCUGCCGUGAAAACCCGAGGCUUAACCUCGGGCUGGCGGUGGAUACGGGCAGACUAGAGGUAGGUAGGGGAGAAUGGAAUUCCCGGUGUAGCGGUGAAAUGCGCAGAUAUCGGGAGGAACACCGGUGGCGAAGGCGGUUCUCUGGGCCUUACCUGACGCUGAGGAGCGAAAGCAUGGGGAGCGAACAGG
RNAcentral lists this ribosomal RNA (253 nucleotides) under uncultured bacterium. RNAcentral describes it as "partial 16S ribosomal RNA". It matches the Rfam family "Bacterial small subunit ribosomal RNA", at positions 524 to 776 of the family's 1533-position model. The record is from RNAcentral.